UUUAUUUAGUUACAUUACACGGGCUCUGUCUUUAUUUAGUUACAUAACAAGGGCUCUGUCUUUAUUUAGUUACAUAACACGGGUUCUGUCUUUAUCUAGUUACAUAACACGGGCUCUGUCUUUAUUUAAUUACAUAACACGGGCUCUGUCUUUAUUUAGUUACUUAACACUGGCUCUGUCUUUAUUUAGUCACGUAACACGGGCUCUUUCUUUAUUUAGUUACAUAACACGGGCUCUGUCUUUAUUUAGGUAUGUAACACGGGCUCUGUCUUUAUUUAGUUACAUAACACGGGGUCUGUCUUUAUUUAGUUGCAUAACACGGGUUCUGUCUUUAUUUAAUGACAUAACACGAGCUCUGUCUUUAUUUAGUUACGUAACACGAGCUCUGUCUUUAUUUAGUUACAUAACACGGGCUCUGUCUUUAUUUAGUUACAUAACACGGGUUCUGUCUUUAUCUAGUUACAUAACACGGGCUCUGUCUUUAUUUAAUUACAUAACACGGGCCCUGUCUUUAUUUAGUUACAUAACACGAGCUCUGUCUUUAUUUAGUUAAAUAACACGGGCUCUGUCUUUAUUUAGUUACUUAACACUGGCUCUGUCUUUAUUUAGUCACGUAACACGGGCUCUGUCUUUAUUUAGUUACAUAGCACGAGCUCUGACUUUAUUUAGUUACAUAACACGGGUUCUGUCUUUAUUUAGUUGCAUAACACGGGUUCUGUCUUUAUUUAAUGACAUAACACGAGCUCUGUCUUUAUUUAGUUAAAUAACACGGGCUCUGUCUUUAUUUAGUUACUUAACACUAGCUCUGUCUUUAUUUAGUCACGUAACACGGGCUCUUUCUUUAUUUAGUUACAUAACACGGGCUCUGUCUUUAUUUAGUUACUUAACACUAGCUCUGUCUUUAUUUAGCCACGUAACACGGGCUCUGUCUUUAUUUAGUUACAUUACACGGGCUCUGUCUUUAUUUAGUUACAUAACAAGGGCUCUGUCUUUAUUUAGUUACAUAACACGGGCUCUGUCUUUAUUUAAUUACAUAACACGGGCUCUGUCUUUAUUUAGUUCCAUAACACGAGCUCUGUCUUUAUUUAGUUACGUAACACGAGCUCUGUCUUUAUUUAGUUACAUAACACGAGCUCUGGCUUUAUUUAGUUACAUAACACGGGUUCUGUCUUUAUCUAGUUACAUAACACGGGCUCUGUCUUUAUUUAAUUACAUAACACGGGCUCUGUCUUUAUUUAGUGACAUAACAAGGGCUCUGUCUUUAUUUAGUUACAUAACACGAGCGCUGUCUUUAUUUAGUUACAUAACACGGGCUCUGUCUUUAUUUAGUUACUUAACACUAGCUCUGUCUUUAUUUAGUCACGUAACACGGGCUCUGUCUUUAUUUAGUUACAUAACACGGGCUCUGCCUAAUAAUUUAAACGCUUGUGUUAAUUUUUACUUUGGAUACUUAAUGAUUGUUAUAUUCAAUAAAACGUUAAUCUAU
Molecule: long non-coding RNA, 1486 nt
Organism: Mizuhopecten yessoensis (Yesso scallop)
Lineage: Eukaryota; Metazoa; Mollusca; Bivalvia; Pectinida; Pectinidae
Exons: 2
Source: RefSeq, a predicted model, not a curated record